AGCCUGUGAUGAACUUUUUCUGACACCUCGUAUGAGUACUUUUUCACUACUUGAUUAUAAGGAAUAAUCUGAGACUG
Small nucleolar RNA from Scleropages formosus (Asian bonytongue), 77 nucleotides. Ensembl annotates it as small nucleolar RNA SNORD60. NCBI's taxonomy places the organism in Eukaryota, Metazoa, Chordata, Actinopteri, Osteoglossiformes, Osteoglossidae. The record is from Ensembl.